UACGUAGGCAGCAAGCGUUGUUCGGAGUUACUGGGCGUAAAGGGUGUGUAGGCGGUUGUUUAAGUUUGGUGUGAAAUCUCCCGGCUCAACUGGGAGGGUGCGCCGAAUACUGAAUGACUAGAGUGCGGGAGAGGAAAGUGGAAUUCCUGGUGUAGCGGUGAAAUGCGUAGAUAUCAGGAGGAACACCGGUGGUGUAGACGGCUUUCUGGACCGUAACCUGACGCUGAGACACGAAAGCGUGGGUAGCAAACAGG
RNAcentral lists this ribosomal RNA (254 nucleotides) under uncultured bacterium. RNAcentral describes it as "partial 16S ribosomal RNA". It matches the Rfam family "Bacterial small subunit ribosomal RNA", at positions 524 to 776 of the family's 1533-position model. The record is from RNAcentral.